GGGUGGAUAUGGGUUGGAUAUGGAAAAAUAGAUUAUCCGUGAGUAUCUCCGAACCUGUUGAGUAUGGAGAUAGGUAUUUCUUUUCUUACCCGAUCGAAUAUCGGGUAGGAUUUAGAUAUAGAGUAUUAAGGUUGGAUUUGAGAAUGGGUAGUACAAUAUUCGAUCCAAACUCUAUCCAUUGCCAUUCCUAGCUGAAAGAAUGUCGCUUCCCACCAUCACUCAUUCC
RNAcentral lists this long non-coding RNA (226 nucleotides) under Elaeis guineensis (African oil palm). RNAcentral describes it as "long non-coding RNA (EGUI_LNC053423)". Lineage: Eukaryota; Viridiplantae; Streptophyta; Magnoliopsida; Arecales; Arecaceae. The record is from RNAcentral.